This 516-nucleotide ribosomal RNA is filed under the name uncultured bacterium. Its description in RNAcentral is "bacterial SSU rRNA". It matches the Rfam family "Bacterial small subunit ribosomal RNA", at positions 28 to 526 of the family's 1533-position model. The record is from RNAcentral.
GACGAACGCUGGCGGCGUGCCUAAUACAUGCAAGUCGAGCGGACAGAUAAGGAGCUUGCUCCUUUGAAGUUAGCGGCGGACGGGUGAGUAACACGUGGGCAACCUACCCUAUAGUUUGGGAUAACUCCGGGAAACCGGGGCUAAUACCGAAUAAUACUUUUUGGCUCAUGUCAGAAAGUUGAAAGAUGGUUACGCUAUCGCUAUAGGAUGGGCCCGCGGCGCAUUAGCUAGUUGGUGAGGUAACGGCUCACCAAGGCAACGAUGCGUAGCCGACCUGAGAGGGUGAUCGGCCACACUGGGACUGAGACACGGCCCAGACUCCUACGGGAGGCAGCAGUAGGGAAUCUUCCACAAUGGGCGAAAGCCUGAUGGAGCAACGCCGCGUGAGUGAAGAAGGAUUUCGGUUCGUAAAACUCUGUUGUAAGGGAAGAACAAGUAGCGUAGUAACUGGCGCUACCUUGACGGUACCUUAUUAGAAAGCCACGGCUAACUACGUGCCAGCAGCCGCGGUAAUAC